Molecule: ribosomal RNA, 576 nt
Filed under: uncultured Meliniomyces
Lineage: Eukaryota; Fungi; Ascomycota; Leotiomycetes; Helotiales; Helotiaceae
Description: eukaryotic LSU rRNA
Rfam family: 5.8S ribosomal RNA (bases 234-387)
Source: RNAcentral
AAGUCGUAACAAGGUUUCCGUAGGUGAACCUGCGGAAGGAUCAUUAAUGUAACCGGACCGGUCCUUUGCCGUAAAAAGCAACGGAUUGGAAAGGGAGAUAUUAUACACCCUGUGUUUAUUUACCUUUGUUGCUUUGGCGGGCCGUCCUUUUAGGCGUCGGCCCCGGCUGAUCGCGCCCGCCAGAGGACCUAAACUCUUUUAUCAGUGAUGUCUGAGUAUUAUAUAAUAGUUAAAACCUUCAACAACGGAUCUCUUGGUUCUGGCAUCGAUGAAGAACGCAGCGAAAUGCGAUAAGUAAUGUGAAUUGCAGAAUUCAGUGAAUCAUCGAAUCUUUGAACGCACAUUGCGCCCGCUGGUAUUCCGGCGGGCAUGCCUGUUCGAGCGUCAUUAUAACCACUCAAGCCUGGCUUGGUAUUGGGGUUUUCGCGUGUUCGCGGCCCUUAAAAUCAGUGGCGGUGCCGUCUGGCUCUAAGCGUAGUAAUUUCUCUCGCUAUAGGGUUCCGGUGGUUACUUGCCAAAACCCCCCAUUUUUUCUAGGUUGACCUCGGAUCAGGUAGGGAUACCCGCUGAACUUAA